Molecule: ribosomal RNA, 614 nt
Filed under: Meyerozyma guilliermondii
Lineage: Eukaryota; Fungi; Ascomycota; Pichiomycetes; Serinales; Debaryomycetaceae
Description: LSU rRNA
Rfam family: Eukaryotic large subunit ribosomal RNA
Source: RNAcentral
UGCAUAUCAAUAAGCGGAGGAAAAGAAACCAACAGGGAUUGCCUUAGUAGCGGCGAGUGAAGCGGCAAAAGCUCAAAUUUGAAAUCUGGCGCCUUCGGUGUCCGAGUUGUAAUUUGAAGAUUGUAACCUUGGGGUUGGCUCUUGUCUAUGUUUCUUGGAACAGGACGUCACAGAGGGUGAGAAUCCCGUGCGAUGAGAUGCCCAAUUCUAUGUAAGGUGCUUUCGAAGAGUCGAGUUGUUUGGGAAUGCAGCUCUAAGUGGGUGGUAAAUUCCAUCUAAAGCUAAAUAUUGGCGAGAGACCGAUAGCGAACAAGUACAGUGAUGGAAAGAUGAAAAGAACUUUGAAAAGAGAGUGAAAAAGUACGUGAAAUUGUUGAAAGGGAAGGGUUUGAGAUCAGACUCGAUAUUUUGUGAGCCUUGCCUUCGUGGCGGGGUGACCCGCAGCUUAUCGGGCCAGCAUCGGUUUGGGCGGUAGGAUAAUGGCGUAGGAAUGUGACUUUACUUCGGUGAAGUGUUAUAGCCUGCGUUGAUGCUGCCUGCCUAGACCGAGGACUGCGAUUUUAUCAAGGAUGCUGGCAUAAUGAUCCCAAACCGCCCGUCUUGAAACACGGACC